Molecule: long non-coding RNA, 2302 nt
Filed under: Equus caballus (horse)
Lineage: Eukaryota; Metazoa; Chordata; Mammalia; Perissodactyla; Equidae
Description: lncRNA (ENSECAG00000049541.1)
Source: RNAcentral
CUGAGACUAAGUUUGCUGUGGAUCACAAAUGACCACCAAAUCUCAGGGGGUUGCCACAGCAAAGGUUUCCUUCUGGCUCAUGCUGCAGCUCUGCUCCUGUGGAUCAGCUCUGGGAUCCAGGUUAACGGAGCAGCCUCUGUCUGGAUAUGCUUUUCUCCUGGCAGAAGGAAAAGAGAUGGAAGAACUAAGCGAUGGCUCUUAGAGCAAGUCACAUGGCCAAGCCAGACAUCAGUGGGGUGGGAUAUAUAAUCCUGUUCCAGGGACAUGCUGGAAAGGCAGGUCCAGCAAAUACCCCCAAAAUAAUGCAAUGUUAGUAAAUUUGCCUUGUGGAUCCUGUGCUUGUGACCUCACCUCUUGUCAGUACAAAGAACUCCGAUAUCCCCUUCUCGCAGAAUCUGCAAUUUUCAACAUUUUACCACAUUUUCACCAUCUUUUAUUAUUCUUUCUCUCUCUCGUAUGUUUGCACCCCUCCCCCCGUUCUUUUUCUGAAUCACUUGAGAGCAAGUUACAGACACUGUGCCCAACUCCCCGCUAAAAACUCCAGAGUGCAUUUUUCCAAAACAAAGAGCCUCACUAACACAUGCUAAUUCAAUUGUCCAAAACAGGAAAUCAACAUUGAUUGGACACUAUUGUCCAAUCCACAGACCCAUUUAAGUUUCAAAAAGUGUUUCAACGUGUCCUUCUCCCUUCUGGUUCAGCUUCCCAUCCAGAAUCACUGAGUUUUGCAUCUUGUUAGUUUCCUUCAACCCGGAGCAUUUCCUCAGUCUUUCCCUGUUUCACAACAUUAACAGUUUUAAAGGGUGCAGGCCUUUCAUUCUGUGAGAUUUCUCUCAACUAGGGUCAUUCUGAUGUUUCCUCACAACCAGCUUCAGGCCAUCCAUUUUCGGUGGGAAGGGCACAGAAGUGAUGCUGUACCCUUUUCCAUGGAUUACAUCAGGAUGCAACUCAGUGUUGAUACGUCCCUGGUGAUGCCAACCUCGAUCAUCUGAUGCUGUUGGUUGGGAAUAUUAGUCCUAGCAGUGUGUUUAUUUGGACAGAAUCUUCUCACAGCAAAGCAAGCUGAGGUCCCCUGGAGCAGAUCAUACAGACAUGGUUUCUAUGCUGGGUUUGUUGAUACUGGUGGUAUUUGGCAGAGACCGAAUACCUGGCUUGUAGAAGACAUCAUACCUCACACUCAUCCUGCUCUCACACGUGGAAGGUACACCAUCCUGACCGGUGACUGUGCCUUCUGCCUGCCUGAAGAUAAGGUGGCCACAGGACCAACAGGGACUAUUGGUGACCAGUGCACCCUUGUGCACUGGGAUUAGGGAUUGGCCCUAAUUUGGUUAUUUCAGGCAAAGGUGUAACCAUAAACCUCACCCUGAAUCUAGAAAUUAAGGUUUCCUGAGCAAUUCUUGGAAGGCAGUUCCUGGCAGCACUUAAACCCCCAAGGAAGCAAAGAGAAGCCUGAAACAAAAUCCAGAUGCCUUGCAUGGGACACUCACUUUGUUGUGGAGGUUCUUGGCUGAAACCCGCUUGUAAUAAAAGACGGAUUAACAAGAGAAAAGCAAACUUAAUUUUGUACAGGAGUCCCACAAAGGUAGGAGACUCAAAAGGCAGCCAAGCAAUUACAGCUUAUAGGCCAUCCUGAGCUAAGGAAAAGAAUAGGGGCCUGCGGCUUCAAAAGGGAGGAGGGCAAUUCACAGGAAGGGGAGAAGAGCAGACGUUUGGUUAACAAAUAUUUGCCCUGCCACAUAGAGAAGUCUCUCAGAAGAAAAAGUUCUCUCUGGUAAUAGCUCUCUUCUUGGUACAGGCCCCCUUUCUAACUUCUUUUAGGCAGUUAAGUGGGGAGGUAAAAAGUUUUUCCUGAGUCUACUGGGUCGUGCUUGCCUUCAGCUCAAAAUAACCCACAUGCUGAAGUGGCACAUUUUGGGGUAGCUUGUUCUGAACCCCCUCAAUAAAAUAUGCCUAGCUAACUUUCUUCAGGCGGUUCAACCAUGACACCUUUGGGGUUAGCUUUGCUACUGGGCUAUAAAAUCUUAGCACGUUAUCAAUUUCUGCAAAGCAACCGCUUAUCUUACAGGGCUAUAAAUCAUAUUGCUUCUAUCAAUGGUGUUAUUAAUUAAAAAAAACUGUGACAACAAACUUGCAUUCCCCCAGAGUAUCAAAUGAGAGUCCCAUUUGACAAAGUCCUGCUUUUAUUCAAGCAGGCAAAUUAUUUUCUAGUAAGAGAAUGCAUAGCAAAAGAGAAAUCAAGUAAGCACCAUUUUGUCAUUUUCCCAGUGGGAGAUAACUUUUCUUGUUAGCGUUAUAAGGAAAAGCC